UUCCCCUGUAGCUCAGUUGGUAGAGCAAAUGGCUGUUAACCAUUGGGUCCGUGGUUCGAGCCCGCGCGGGGGAGUGAU
This 78-nucleotide transfer RNA is filed under the name Treponema pallidum subsp. pallidum str. Chicago. RNAcentral's name for it is "tRNA-Asn". It matches the Rfam family "tRNA". From Rfam's summary of the family: Transfer RNA (tRNA) molecules are approximately 80 nucleotides in length. Their secondary structure includes four short double-helical elements and three loops (D, anti-codon, and T loops). Further hydrogen bonds mediate the characteristic L-shaped molecular structure. tRNAs have two regions of fundamental functional importance: the anti-codon, which is responsible for specific mRNA codon recognition, and the 3' end, to which the tRNAs corresponding amino acid is attached (by aminoacyl-tRNA synthetases). tRNAs cope with the degeneracy of the genetic code in two manners: having more than one tRNA (with a specific anti-codon) for a particular amino acid; and 'wobble' base-pairing, i.e. permitting non-standard base-pairing at the 3rd anti-codon position. Lineage: Bacteria; Pseudomonadati; Spirochaetota; Spirochaetia; Treponematales; Treponemataceae. The record is from RNAcentral.